GUCACGCCCUAAACGAUGUCAACUGGUUGUUGGGUGACUUGAUCACUUAGUAACGUAGCUAACGCGCGAAGUUGACCGCCUGGGGAGUACGGUCGCAAGAUUAAAACUCAAAGGAAAUUGAACGGGGGCCCGCACAAGCGGUGGAUGAUGUGGAUUAAUUCGAUGCAACGCGAAAACCUUACCUACCCUUGACAUGCCAGGAAUCCUGCAGAGAUGUGGGAGUGCCCGAAAGGGAGCCUGGACACAGGUGCUGCAUGGCUGUCGU
RNAcentral lists this ribosomal RNA (265 nucleotides) under uncultured bacterium. RNAcentral's name for it is "partial 16S ribosomal RNA". It matches the Rfam family "Bacterial small subunit ribosomal RNA", at positions 794 to 1055 of the family's 1533-position model. The record is from RNAcentral.